CCUACGGGUGGCAGCAGUGGGGAAUAUUGGACAAUGGGCGAAAGCCUGAUCCAGCCAUGCCGCGUGUGUGAAGAAGGCCUUCGGGUUGUAAAGCACUUUCAGUGGGGAAGAAAGCCUUGGGGCUAAUACCCUCGAGGAAGGACAUCACCCACAGAAGAAGCACCGGCUAACUCCGUGCCAGCAGCCGCGGUAAUACGGAGGGUGCGAGCGUUAAUCGGAAUUACUGGGCGUAAAGCGCGCGUAGGCGGUCUGAUAAGCCGGUUGUGAAAGCCCCGGGCUCAACCUGGGAACGGCAUCCGGAACUGUCAGGCUAGAGUGCAGGAGAGGAAGGUAGAAUUCCCGGUGUAGCGGUGAAAUGCGUAGAGAUCGGGAGGAAUACCAGUGGCGAAGGCGGCCUUCUGGACUGACACUGACGCUGAGGUGCGAAAGCGUGGGUAGCAAACAGGAUUAGAUACCCGUGUAGUC
Molecule: ribosomal RNA, 465 nt
Filed under: Vreelandella stevensii
Lineage: Bacteria; Pseudomonadati; Pseudomonadota; Gammaproteobacteria; Oceanospirillales; Halomonadaceae
Description: partial 16S ribosomal RNA
Rfam family: Bacterial small subunit ribosomal RNA
Source: RNAcentral